This is a small nuclear RNA of Theropithecus gelada (gelada), 104 nucleotides long. NCBI's taxonomy places the organism in Eukaryota, Metazoa, Chordata, Mammalia, Primates, Cercopithecidae. The record is from Ensembl.
AUGCUUGCUUUGGUAGCACAUAUACUAAAGUUGGAACAGUGGAGAGAUUGGCAUGGCCUCUGUGCAAGAAAGACAUGCAAAUUUGUGAAGCAUUCCAUAUUUUU